AAAUGAAUAGACGGGGGCCCGCACAAGCGGUGGAGUAUGUGGUUUAAUUCGAUGCAACGCGAAGAACCUUACCUGGGCUUGAACCACGGCUUACAGAGGCUGAAAGGCCUUGCUCCUUCGGGAGGUGCCGUAGAGGUGCUGCAUGGCUGUCGUCAGCUCGUGUCGUGAGAUGUUGGGUUAAGUCCCGCAACGAGCGCAACCCUUGUCGUUAGUUGCCAGCGCGUCAUGGCGGGGACUCUAACGAGACUGCCGGCGUAAGCCGGAGGAAGGUGGGGACGACGUCAAGUCAUCAUGGCCCUUACGUCCAGGGCGACACACGUACUACAAUGGCCAGGACAGCGCGAACCAAGACCGCGAGGUGGAGGCAAUCGUCAAACCUGGCCCCAGUUCAGAUCGCAGUCUGCAACUCGACUGCGUGAAGCCGGAAUCGCUAGUAAACGCGGAUCAGCCAUGCCGCGUUGAAUACGUUCCCGGGCCUUGUACACACCGCCCGU
Molecule: ribosomal RNA, 494 nt
Filed under: uncultured bacterium
Lineage: Bacteria
Description: bacterial SSU rRNA
Rfam family: Bacterial small subunit ribosomal RNA
Source: RNAcentral